GUACUUUUAACUACAGCUCAUGUGUUGAUUUUGUCUGUGAGUGGAGAAGGGUAUACGGUAUACUGUGAUGCUUCUAGAAUUGGGUUGGAGUGUGUUUUGAUGCAGCACGGUAAGGUGGUGGCUUAUACUUUGACACAGUUAAAGAAGCACGAGCAGAAUUACCCCACUUAUAAUCUGAAAAUGGCAAUUGUUAUCUUUGCACUGAAAAUUUAGAGGCACUACCUAUAUGGUGAAAUGUGCGAGAUAUACAUCAAUCAAAUAAAAAGCUUGAAGUAUA
Molecule: unclassified non-coding RNA, 277 nt
Filed under: Hevea brasiliensis (rubber tree)
Lineage: Eukaryota; Viridiplantae; Streptophyta; Magnoliopsida; Malpighiales; Euphorbiaceae
Source: RNAcentral